CCUACUUCCGUAGGUGAACCUGCGGAAGGAUCAUUAUCGAGUUUUGAACGGGUUGUAGCUGGCCUUUAACGAGGUAUGUGCACGCCUGGCUCAUCCACUCUCAACCUCUGUGCACUUUAUGUAAGAAACGGUGUAAGCCAGCUAUUUAUUAGUUGGUCAUAAGCCUUUCUUAUGUUNACUACAAACGCUUCAGUUAUAGAAUGUUUACUGUGUAUAACACAAUUAUAUACAACUUUCAGCAACGGAUCUCUUGGCUCUCGCAUCGAUGAAGAACGCAGCGAAAUGCGAUAAGUAAUGUGAAUUGCAGAAUUCAGUGAAUCAUCGAAUCUUUGAACGCACCUUGCACUCCUUGGUAUUCCGAGGAGUAUGCCUGUUUGAGUCUCAUGGAAUUCUCAACCCCUAAAUUUUGUAAUGAAGUUUAGUGGGCUUGGACUUGGAGGUUGUGUCGGCUUCUAGUCGACUCCUCUGAAAUGNAUUAGCGUGAAUCUUACGGAUCGCCUUCAGUGUGAUAAUUAUCUGCGCUGUGGUGUUGAAGUAUUUAUUAGUUCGUGCUUAUAAUCGUCUCUUACCGAGACAAUUUAUGACAAUCUGAGCUCAAAUCAGGUAGGACUACCCGCUGAACUUAAGCAUAUCAAUAAGCGGGAGGA
This 647-nucleotide ribosomal RNA is filed under the name Polyporus umbellatus. Its description in RNAcentral is "eukaryotic LSU rRNA". The stretch from base 231 to 384 matches the Rfam family "5.8S ribosomal RNA". Lineage: Eukaryota; Fungi; Basidiomycota; Agaricomycetes; Polyporales; Polyporaceae. The record is from RNAcentral.